GAUCCUGGCUCAGGAUGAACGCUGGCGGCGCGCCUAACACAUGCAAGUCGAACGGCACCCCUCUCCGGAGGGAAGCGAGUGGCGAACGGCUGAGUAACACGUGGAGAACCUGCCCCCUCCCCCGGGAUAGCCGCCCGAAAGGACGGGUAAUACCGGAUACCCCGGGGUGCCGCAUGGCACCCCGGCUAAAGCCCCGACGGGAGGGGAUGGCUCCGCGGCCCAUCAGGUAGACGGCGGGGUGACGGCCCACCGUGCCGACAACGGGUAGCCGGGUUGAGAGACCGACCGGCCAGAUUGGGACUGAGACACGGCCCAGACUCCUACGGGAGGCAGCAGUGGGGAAUCUUGCGCAAUGGGGGGAACCCUGACGCAGCGACGCCGCGUGCGGGACGGAGGCCUUCGGGUCGUAAACCGCUUUCAGCAGGGAAGAGUCAAGACUGUACCUGCAGAAGAAGCCCCGGCUAACUACGUGCCAGCAGCCGCGGUAAUACGUAGGGGGCGAGCGUUAUCCGGAUUCAUUGGGCGUAAAGCGCGCGUAGGCGGCCCGGCAGGCCGGGGGUCGAAGCGGGGGGCUCAACCCCCCGAAGCCCCCGGAACCUCCGCGGCUUGGGUCCGGUAGGGGAGGGUGGAACACCCGGUGUAGCGGUGGAAUGCGCAGAUAUCGGGUGGAACACCGGUGGCGAAGGCGGCCCUCUGGGCCGAGACCGACGCUGAGGCGCGAAAGCUGGGGGAGCGAACAGGAUUAGAUACCCUGGUAGUCCCAGCCGUAAACGAUGGACGCUAGGUGUGGGGGGACGAUCCCCCCGUGCCGCAGCCAACGCAUUAAGC
RNAcentral lists this ribosomal RNA (828 nucleotides) under human gut metagenome. RNAcentral describes it as "bacterial SSU rRNA". It matches the Rfam family "Bacterial small subunit ribosomal RNA", at positions 15 to 865 of the family's 1533-position model. The record is from RNAcentral.